This 464-nucleotide ribosomal RNA is filed under the name uncultured bacterium. Its description in RNAcentral is "partial 16S ribosomal RNA". It matches the Rfam family "Bacterial small subunit ribosomal RNA", at positions 28 to 506 of the family's 1533-position model. The record is from RNAcentral.
GACGAACGCUGGCGGCGUGCUUAACACAUGCAAGUCGAACGGAAAGGCCCUGCUUGCAGGGUACUCGAGUGGCGAACGGGUGAGUAACACGUGGGUGAUCUGCCCUGCACUUCGGGAUAAGCCUGGGAAACUGGGUCUAAUACCGGAUAGGAGCCAUUCUUAGUGUGAUGGUUGGAAAGUUUUUUCGGUGUAGGAUGAGCUCGCGGCCUAUCAGCUUGUUGGUGGGGUAAUGGCCUACCAAGGCGGCGACGGGUAGCCGGCCUGAGAGGGUGGACGGCCACAUUGGGACUGAGAUACGGCCCAGACUCCUACGGGAGGCAGCAGUGGGGAAUAUUGCACAAUGGGCGCAAGCCUGAUGCAGCGACGCCGCGUGGGGGAUGACGGCCUUCGGGUUGUAAACUCCUUUCGCUAGGGACGAAGCUUUUUGUGACGGUACCUAGAUAAGAAGCACCGGCUAACUACGU